This 790-nucleotide ribosomal RNA is filed under the name uncultured soil bacterium. RNAcentral's name for it is "bacterial SSU rRNA". It matches the Rfam family "Bacterial small subunit ribosomal RNA", at positions 8 to 818 of the family's 1533-position model. The record is from RNAcentral.
AGAGUUUGAUCCUGGCUCAGGACGAACGCUGGCGGCGUGCCUAAUGCAUGCAAGUCGGACGGGAACCACUUUGGUGGUCGACCGUGGCGGACGGGUGAGGAGCACGUGGAGAACCUGCCCCGAGGCGGGGGAUAACGCCGGGAAACCGGUGGUAAGACCCCUUGGGCUUGGUUGGUGAUGGGCCGAUCAAGCAAAAACUUCGGUUGCGUCGGGAGGGCUCUGCGACCUAUCAGUUAGUUGGUGGGGCAGUGGCCUACCAAGGCGAUGACGGGUAGCUGGUCUGAGAGGACGAUCAGCCACACGGGGACUGAGACACGGCCCCGACUCCUACGGGAGGCAGCAGCAAGGAAUUUUCCGCAAUGGGCGCAAGCCUGACGGAGCGACGCCGCGUGGAGGACGACACCUUUCGGGGCGUAAACUCCUUUUCUGGGGGAUGAAUGAUGACAGUACCCCGGGAAGAAGGACCGGCUAACUACGUGCCAGCAGCCGCGGUAAGACGUAGGGUCCGAGCGUUGUCCGGAGUUACUGGGCGUAAAGGGCGCGUAGGCGGUUGCCCGCGUCGCACGUGAAAGCCCCCGGCUCAACCGGGGAGGGUCGUGCGAGACGGGGUAACUGGAGGCAGUGAGAGGCUGGUGGAAUUCCCGGAGUAGUGGUGAAAUGCGUAGAGAUCGGGAGGAACACCGGUGGCGAAGGCGGCCAGCUGGCACUGACCUGACGCUGAGGCGCGAAGGCGUGGGGAGCGAACGGGAUUAGAUACCCCGGUAGUCCACGCAGUAAACGAUGUGCACUA